UUCAUCCCUUCACUGCUCCAAGAAUAGCUUGUUUUAUUUGACAUAAACUAUUACUGGAGUCUGAAGUAUUUAAUAGAAUUUCUCACAAACUAUCCACAUUAUUUCGGUCAAUGGCAGUGAGAAUAUGUCAAUGGAUGUUAUCUGUGGAAACACAAAAUCAAGUGGAAAAAAAAUAUAGUGAAGAGGAGGCAAAUAACCAAGAGCCCCUUUCAGCUUGAGGAGGUGGGAGAGAAGCACUGGAAGGAGCCAGUCCUGAGCCAUUAUUUGACCAAAAGGGAAUGCAUCAAAUGAGUCCUGCUAAGGACCAAGAAAUCCAGCUGGAUCCAUUGUCUCCCGAUUGUAGGGGCCUUUGGGGGCAGCCUUAGUCAGGGGAAAUAACUUUGUGUUUUGCUGCUUGGUAAAGUUUGCAUUUCAGGUAAUGAGCUGUGCUUGAGGGCAGGGCAAUAAAGAGCUUGGGUGCGGUACCAAUUUUUUUUUCCAGGCUGGUGAGGGAGCCUUCCAGUUUACAAAAUAUGGGGCCUUAGCAAGGACUGUAUGCUUGUACAAGACUUCCUUCACCUUGCAAUAAAGGCAUGACGCUUUCCAGUAUUUUAAA
Molecule: long non-coding RNA, 595 nt
Organism: Pseudopipra pipra
Lineage: Eukaryota; Metazoa; Chordata; Aves; Passeriformes; Pipridae
Exons: 2
Source: RefSeq, a predicted model, not a curated record